This 253-nucleotide ribosomal RNA is filed under the name uncultured bacterium. Its description in RNAcentral is "partial 16S ribosomal RNA". It matches the Rfam family "Bacterial small subunit ribosomal RNA", at positions 524 to 776 of the family's 1533-position model. The record is from RNAcentral.
UACAGAGGUCUCAACCGUUGUUCGGAUUCAUUGGGCGUAAAGGGUGCGUAGGCGGCGGGGCAAGUCAGGUGUGAAAUCUCGGGGCUCAACCCCGAAACUGCACUUGAUACUGCCUUGCUCGAGUACUGGAGAGGAGACUGGAAUUUACGGUGUAGCAGUGAAAUGCGUAGAUAUCGUAAGGAAGACCAGUGGCGAAGGCGAGUCUCUAGACAGUUACUGACGCUGAGGCACGAAGGCCAGGGGAGCAAACGGG